UGCUGUUUCUCACGAUUCUGCCCAGCCAUUUAUCACGCGCACGCUGACAUCUUGCACUUAGUCAUCAAGAGCUACAGUACGACGAGUACAUACUAGAGCCAACCACUCCUGAAGUGCUUCCAUGAGUUCAGUUGAGUGCUGAACCAACUCUCGACACUCUCGACAGCCUGUGAAAAGGAAUGAGUGUGUGGAAAGGGAUUCAAUACUGGAGAAGAGAGGGGAGAGAUCGAGAGGGUGAUGUUACAUCCCCAAGCGUCGUAGUCUCGCGUUGAUGACUGGAACGGACUGUUGAACGACGAUCAACAUGGUGUGCAAGCUGAUGGACAGUUGGGCCAAUGGUUCAGAAGCGUUAGUUGAGCUUCUAACGACCUACUACUCGCCUGUCAAGUGAGGUGUGUACUUGUUCAUACUCCUACUCGUCUCACUGGCGUCUAGGGUUGUGAGCACCGUCGCUUAUGAAAGACGCCGUCGCCUAUGAAAGACACCGUCGCUCAUUGAAGACUAGAUCCAUAAUAUAAACAAAAGAGUAUUUCUCUGAAUGGCGACGGAUUGGCCAGCCCCAUCGUUACACAAUUUGUCCAAAAACACCAUCUCUGCCGUCCAUCGAUAUCUUUCGAAAUCAUCCGGACCAGACAGUAGAGCUUUGAGAACCCCGAAGGAGGAAUAC
This 667-nucleotide unclassified non-coding RNA is filed under the name Yarrowia lipolytica. Lineage: Eukaryota; Fungi; Ascomycota; Dipodascomycetes; Dipodascales. The record is from RNAcentral.